UCAAAGUGUAGCUUAUAUAAAGCACCCGGUUUACACCCAGGAGAUUUCUACCUCACAGACCACUUUG
This 67-nucleotide transfer RNA is filed under the name Cyclopes didactylus (silky anteater). Its description in RNAcentral is "tRNA-Val". The record is from RNAcentral. Lineage: Eukaryota; Metazoa; Chordata; Mammalia; Pilosa; Cyclopedidae.